RNAcentral lists this ribosomal RNA (255 nucleotides) under uncultured bacterium. Its description in RNAcentral is "partial 16S ribosomal RNA". It matches the Rfam family "Bacterial small subunit ribosomal RNA", at positions 524 to 776 of the family's 1533-position model. The record is from RNAcentral.
UACGUAGGGUGCAAGCGUUAAUCGGAAUUACUGGGCGUAAAGCGUGCGCAGGCGGUUUUGUAAGUCUGUCGUGAAAAGCCCCCGGGCUCAACCUGGGAAUUGCGAUGGAGACUGCAAGGCUUGAAUCUGGCAGAGGGGGGUAGAAUUCCACGUGUAGCAGUGAAAUGCGUAGAGAUGUGGAGGAACACCGAUGGCGAAGGCAGCCCCCUGGGUCAAGAUUGACGCUCAUGCACGAAAGCGUGGGGAGCAAACAGG